GGUUCGAUGGUGUAGUUGGUUAUCACGUCUGUCUCACACUGUCCGCUUGGGUAUAAGCGAGUGGGUUCACAGGAGGUCUCCGGUUCGAACCCGGGUCGAACCA
Non-coding RNA from Trametes polyzona, 103 nucleotides. Lineage: Eukaryota; Fungi; Basidiomycota; Agaricomycetes; Polyporales; Polyporaceae. The record is from the annotation of a GenBank genome assembly.